GAGUUCAAAUAAGAUGGAUAAAUUAUGAUGAAAAAGUCAAAUAACUUUUAUUAAUAAAAAUUCAUAUAUAUUUACAAAAGUGAGCACAAUCAUCAACAAGCUGAUGAUUAGUUUUGGGACAUAUUUCUCAACAUGUGCACAUUUAAUGAAUAUUUGAUACAUAUUAGUGAAUAUAAAGUAUAAGACCUUUAAAUGUUUGAUAGUCCUUUGUUUAGAUUACCACACCAAUCCAAGACGAGCAUUAAACAUGCUGUGGAUCAUUAUAACUAGUUUAACAAGAUAUAAAGAGGAUAUAAUAUGAUAUCCCACCU
Molecule: long non-coding RNA, 311 nt
Filed under: Elaeis guineensis (African oil palm)
Lineage: Eukaryota; Viridiplantae; Streptophyta; Magnoliopsida; Arecales; Arecaceae
Description: long non-coding RNA (EGUI_LNC017026)
Source: RNAcentral